AACGCUGGCGGCGUGCCUAAUACAUGCAAGUCGAACGCACAGCGAAAGGUGCUUGCACCUUUCAAGUGAGUGGCGAACGGGUGAGUAACACGUGGACAACCUGCCUCAAGGCUGGGGAUAACAUUUGGAAACAGAUGCUAAUACCGAAUAAAACUUAGUGUCGCAUGACACAAAGUUAAAAGGCGCUUCGGCGUCACCUAGAGAUGGAUCCGCGGUGCAUUAGUUAGUUGGUGGGGUAAAGGCCUACCAAGACAAUGAUGCAUAGCCGAGUUGAGAGACUGAUCGGCCACAUUGGGACUGAGACACGGCCCAAACUCCUACGGGAGGCUGCAGUAGGGAAUCUUCCACAAUGGGCGAAAGCCUGAUGGAGCAACGCCGCGUGUGUGAUGAAGGCUUUCGGGUCGUAAAGCACUGUUGUAUGGGAAGAACAGCUAGAAUAGGAAAUGAUUUUAGUUUGACGGUACCAUACCAGAAAGGGACGGCUAAAUACGUGCCAGCAGCCGCGGUAAUACGUAUGUCCCGAGCGUUAUCCGGAUUUAUUGGGCGUAAAGCGAGCGCAGACGGUUUAUUAAGUCUGAUGUGAAAGCCCGGAGCUCAACUCCGGAAUGGCAUUGGAAACUGGUUAACUUGAGUGCAGUAGAGGUAAGUGGAACUCCAUGUGUAGCGGUGGAAUGCGUAGAUAUAUGGAAGAACACCAGUGGCGAAGGCGGCUUACUGGACUGCAACUGACGUUGAGGCUCGAAAGUGUGGGUAGCAAACAGGAUUAGAUACCCUGGUAGUCCACACCGUAAACGAUGAACACUAGGUGUUAGGAGGUUUCCGCCUCUUAGUGCCGAAGCUAACGCAUUAAGUGUUCCGCCUGGGGAGUACGACCGCAAGGUUGAAACUCAAAGGAAUUGACGGGGACCCGCACAAGCGGUGGAGCAUGUGGUUUAAUUCGAAGCAACGCGAAGAACCUUACCAGGUCUUGACAUCCUUUGAAGCUUUUAGAGAUAGAAGUGUUCUCUUCGGAGACAAAGUGACAGGUGGUGCAUGGUCGUCGUCAGCUCGUGUCGUGAGAUGUUGGGUUAAGUCCCGCAACGAGCGCAACCCUUAUUGUUAGUUGCCAGCAUUCAGAUGGGCACUCUAGCGAGACUGCCGGUGACAAACCGGAGGAAGGCGGGGACGACGUCAGAUCAUCAUGCCCCUUAUGACCUGGGCUACACACGUGCUACAAUGGCGUAUACAACGAGUUGCCAACCCGCGAGGGUGAGCUAAUCUCUUAAAGUACGUCUCAGUUCGGAUUGUAGUCUGCAACUCGACUACAUGAAGUCGGAAUCGCUAGUAAUCGCGGAUCAGCACGCCGCGGUGAAUACGUUCCCGGGUCUUGUACACACCGCCCGUCACACCAUGGGAGUUUGUAAUGCCCAAAGCCGGUGGCCUAACCUUUUAGGAAGGAGCCGUCUAAGGCAGGACAGAUGACUGGGGUGA
This 1470-nucleotide ribosomal RNA is filed under the name Leuconostoc mesenteroides. RNAcentral describes it as "bacterial SSU rRNA". It matches the Rfam family "Bacterial small subunit ribosomal RNA". The record is from RNAcentral. Lineage: Bacteria; Bacillati; Bacillota; Bacilli; Lactobacillales; Lactobacillaceae. RNAcentral also lists the same sequence under 1 other name.